Molecule: ribosomal RNA, 465 nt
Filed under: uncultured bacterium
Lineage: Bacteria
Description: partial 16S ribosomal RNA
Rfam family: Bacterial small subunit ribosomal RNA
Source: RNAcentral
CCUACGGGUGACAGCAGUGGGGAAUAUUGCGCAAUGGGCGAAAGCCUGACGCAGCGACGCCGCGUGAGGGAUGAAGGUCUUCGGAUCGUAAACCUCUGUCAGCAGGGAAGAACGGUCACUGUGCUAAUCAGCAGUGAAUUGACGGUACCUGCAAAGGAAGCACCGGCUAACUCCGUGCCAGCAGCCGCGGUAAUACGGCGGGUGCGAGCGUUAAUCGGAAUUACUGGGCGUAAAGCGCUCGUAGGCGGUAUGUCAAGUCAAGGGUGAAAUCCCCGGGCUCAACGGGGGAACUGCCUUUGAAACUGGCAAACUGGAGUGUGUGAGAGGAUAGUGGAAUUCCAGGGGUAGGAGUGAAAUGCGUAGAUAUCUGGAGGAACAUCAGUGGCGAAGGCGACUAUCUGGCACAUAACUGACGCUGAGGAGCGAAAGCGUGGGUAGCAAACAGGAUUAGAUACCCGGGUAGUC